AACUAGCUUACAAAUGCCAGUUACAAAUAUUCCGUCAAAGAAACUUUGACCAAAAGUUUGUAACUAAGUUAUAAACACCAAUUAUAAAUAUUAAAUUACUAAUUCCUAUUAAUUUUAUUUAAUUUUUUUAUUUAAGUUAGAGGAAAAAAUUCUCGCUGAAAAUAAACAUAAGACUGAAACUUUUUAUUUAUUUUUUUCCUUUUGCUCCAACUUCUCGCCCGAUUGGUGAAAACUCCUUCUUCCUCUUACAAUUUCUCCUUUGCUACAACUCAAUCCAUUCAGUAUUGUUUUGGUUAGAGCUUCCGUCCGAUUUCAGGAAAUCUUGGGAUCGAUUCUCACCCCUGCCCUUGUGGCUCUCUCUAAACACCAAAAAAAAAAAAAAAAACAACUCAAUCCAUUCAGUAUUGUUUUGGUUUUUCGAAUUAUGGCUCUUGUUCUCGUCCAUAACGACGAACGUCUUCCUCCUCAGCUUCUCCAACAAUUUUCUUUCACAAUUUCUUUGCUGAUUUUCGAAUUUGGGUUCAGCAAUAGUGCUUCUAUUGAGGUUUAAAGGUAUGUAAUUUUCGAAUUAGGGUUCUUGUAAUUACCCCUUUUUUAAUUCAAUAAUAGCCCUAAAAAUCGAAUUGAAUUUUGUUAGCUGAUUAAUUUCACAUCAAAUUGACAAUGUGACAUGCCUUCUUUUCGCCCUUUAAAACCAAUAAAGCCCAAAUUUAUUAAACAAAUGGAGAAGGAGUUAAAUUUGAUUAUAUAAUUUGGAAUUUUACUUUGAUAUUGCACCAUUAGAAUUUGUCGAAGUUUAUGAUGAUUUAAAACAUCUUUUCAAUUUGUCUUGGUACUUUUUGUUUAUUUGUUUAAUUUUCAUUUUUUACUGUUGGAUCAAUGGUUUGAUGGAUAAGGCUGAAUGUGACUCUUGAGAUGUAUAGGGAUAGGGAUAAUUAUAUGCUUGUUCUGGUAUCUGAUGCAUUAUUAGUUCAAAAUAUGCUAUAAUCUGGAUUACAGGGUUACUAAAGAUGAUCAUUUUUCUUUAUGUUCCUGAUCGAAUUGGUGUGCAUGCCUGCUUGGAUGUGUAAUUAUGCAAUCGUGGAAUGGUUAUAUGUGUCUGUCGUUGUAUUUAAUCCUGCAUAUUACUGAUGAUCUGUUUUUGAUUUGGAAUUUGAUACCAAAAUGUUUCCUGCAUAAUGCUACGGUAUGUUCAUAUACAAAGGCUACUAAAUGAUAAUGUGGGCUACUCAUUCAUAAUUAAUUUAUUGUAAAAACAUAUUAGAACCAACACUUGUGGAAUUGUAAUAUAGUGACAGUUACUUGUCAAAUGAUGAUCUGAAAUCAAAGACGAGAAUCAAACAAAGGAAGAUAUAUAAUGAAAUGUUGUAGUCCCUACUAUUCUGUAAAUGUGAGUAAUCACUAGUAAAUUGGACUAAUCAACUGAAGCUAGAAUUGCUUGGAAAUGGCUUCCUGAUCACAAGUGUAAUCCUGUGUGUAUAGUUUGUCUAGGUCCCUCUUACAUUCUUAGGUUGCAUUGGGCAGGAGCCUCUUCGUAUAUUGGGUUAAUGAUGAUGCCGAUAUUGAUGUUAAUGUUGUAGCGUUUUAUUUUAGAUUCGAAGUAAAUUUGAGGUAACAUAUGUUGUGGCCUCUCCUUUUCUUGGUUGUUGAAGUUUCUUUUAAGUUUUCACGUGAAACUCUUGCUAGUCCAAUAGCAUAUUGUAGCAUUUUCAACUCACCGGCGGUGUGGCUAUGAAUUGCAAGUAAAUGAUGCUCAACCUUAAUUCAUGAAGUUUGUUUAGGGUGAAUACAUUAGAAUCUCAAUAUCUUCCUAUAGUUUUUAACUUUUAUAUUGAUAGAUUGACAUGAAGAUUAACAUGAGCCGAAUUUCAGAACUGAAUUCAGAAAUGAAAAUCAGAACCGAAUUUUCGAACUAUAAAAGAAGGGGAAAAAUGCUUGAUAGCUCACAAUGCAGUGUGCACCUAGAAGUAUCUUUUAAAUAACAAUAGCCAACACUUCCAGAUUUUGAUAUUUUAUUGCGUGCAUAACUCCUUAAAGUUAUUGAUCAGUCGUACUUGUUCUCGGAGGAUCAGUUUGCUCGGUUAACUUCAGAAAGCUCGUUCUCCUUCGUUACGAGGUAUUUUUAGGUGAUAUUUUUUUUGAAUUUGGGUGAAAUUUUGUCUACUUUCUUCCUGCAAAAUUUCAGAAUUUUUCGAGUUCUUUUGCUAUUAAACUGGACUGUUUUCCGCAACUGUGUCAGUUUUAGUCCGAGUUAAUAGUUAUUGCUGUUUGUGUGCGAUUUUGUUCCAAGUUGUGCUGCUAUUUUUUCCUUGUUUUGUGCGCAUAUUGUGUGUAUAAAUCAUGGCAGACGAGGCUAUAUUCAAUUCAUGAAUAGACUACUCAUUAUAUUCAAUUUAAUGGAAGUUUGAUUUUAAUUACUUGCUAGUGCAAACUCAGGUUUCAUAGUGAACCAGGAUUAAGAACAUCUACUUUUGAGAGGUACCCUUAUUUUAUUGCUUGUAUUCCGUCAUUAUCGAGUGGGACGAUUUGAUACCGGUGUCUGUAGAAGGAGAGAAGGUUGAUGUUAGGUGGCCUAAUUGGUUUGCUGCAGUUGCAGGGGAGGCUAUCAAAAGGUGGGUUUCAUGGUGGUUUGUUUCCUACUUUCCUUUGAGAAGAUGAAUAAGGUGUCGUGGAGUAUGUGGACUGGAGGUAGAAGUUUUGUCUUGGUUAGAGGUAAUGUCACUUGUAAUAUGCUUCCUAUUUUCUAUAUAGUUGGGAAUUCUUAUUGGGUUGCUUGUUUAGAUUCUACAUAAUUUGUAUAACAGGGGAAGGUAUAAUUUGUAUAAAUCAGGAACUGACCAUAAAACUAUGUAAAAUUGUUCUUGUCUAUGGCUUGAGUUUUGGCAUCCUAAAUUAUAAGGGUCUAACACA
Molecule: long non-coding RNA, 2910 nt
Organism: Chenopodium quinoa (quinoa)
Lineage: Eukaryota; Viridiplantae; Streptophyta; Magnoliopsida; Caryophyllales; Amaranthaceae
Exons: 3
Source: RefSeq, a predicted model, not a curated record